RNAcentral lists this ribosomal RNA (253 nucleotides) under uncultured bacterium. Its description in RNAcentral is "partial 16S ribosomal RNA". It matches the Rfam family "Bacterial small subunit ribosomal RNA", at positions 524 to 776 of the family's 1533-position model. The record is from RNAcentral.
UACGUAGGUGGCGAGCGUUGUCCGGAUUUACUGGGCGUAAAGGGAGCGUAGGCGGAUUUUUAAGUGAGAUGUGAAAUACCCGGGCUCAACUUGGGUGCUGCAUUUCAAACUGGAAGUCUAGAGUGCAGGAGAGGAGAGUGGAACUCCCGGUGUAGCGGUGAAAUGCGCAGAUAUCGGGAAGAACACCUGUGGCGAAGGCGGCUCUCUGGGACGGUACUGACGCUGAGACGCGAAAGCGUGGGGAGCAAACAGG